This 310-nucleotide unclassified non-coding RNA is filed under the name plant metagenome. Its description in RNAcentral is "partial contains 5.8S ribosomal RNA, internal transcribed spacer 2, and large subunit ribosomal RNA". The stretch from base 1 to 105 matches the Rfam family "5.8S ribosomal RNA", at positions 50 to 154 of the family's 154-position model. The record is from RNAcentral.
GAAAUGCGAUAAGUAGUGUGAAUUACAGAAUUCAGUGAAUCAUCGAAUCUUUGAACGCACAUUGCGCCCCUUGGUAUUCCAUGGGGCAUGCCUGUUCGAGCGUCAUUUGUACCCUCAAGCUCUGCUUGGUGUUGGGUGUUUGUCCCCGUCUCCGCGCGUGGACUCGCCCCAAAGUGAUUGGCAGCCGGCGUACUGGUCCCGGAGCGCAGCACAUGUCGCGCAAACGAGUGCCUUGGUACGGCGGCGUCCAUAAGCCCCUCUCUCACGCUCUUGACCUCGGAUCAGGUAGGGAUACCCGCUGAACUUGAGC